RNAcentral lists this ribosomal RNA (288 nucleotides) under uncultured bacterium. RNAcentral's name for it is "partial 16S ribosomal RNA". It matches the Rfam family "Bacterial small subunit ribosomal RNA", at positions 338 to 643 of the family's 1533-position model. The record is from RNAcentral.
CCUACGGGACGCAGCAGUGGGGGAUAUUGCACAAUGGGGGGAACCCUGAUGCAGCGACGCCGCGUGGGUGAAGGAGCGUUUCGGCGCGUAAAGCCCUAUCGGCAGGGAAGAAGAUGACGGUACCUGACCAAGAAGCCCCGGCUAACUACGUGCCAGCAGCCGCGGUAAUACGUAGGGGGCAAGCGUUAUCCGGAAUUACUGGGUGUAAAGGGAGCGUAGACGGCUGUGCAAGUCUGGAGUGAAAGGCGGGGGCCCAACCCCCGGACUGCUCUGGGAACUGUAUGGGUG